This 95-nucleotide transfer RNA is filed under the name Sphaerotilus microaerophilus. RNAcentral describes it as "Sphaerotilus sp. FB-5 tRNA-SeC". Lineage: Bacteria; Pseudomonadati; Pseudomonadota; Betaproteobacteria; Burkholderiales; Sphaerotilaceae. The record is from RNAcentral.
GGGCGAUCCACGGCGCGGCUGGCAGGCCGCGCCGCUUCAGCCGGCACGCAAGAGUCCGCAGGGACUCUUGCUGGUCCGACUUCAGCCUUCGUCCU